CGAGUGGCGAACGGGUGAGUAACGCGUGAGGAACCUGCCUCAAGGAGGGGGACAACAGUUGGAAACGACUGCUAAUACCGCAUAAGCCCACGACCCGGCAUCGGGUAGAGGGAAAAGGAGCAAUCCGCUUUGAGAUGGCCUCGCGUCCGAUUAGCUAGUUGGUGAGGUAAUGGCCCACCAAGGCGACGAUCGGUAGCCGGACUGAGAGGUUGAACGGCCACAUUGGGACUGAGACACGGCCCAGACUCCUACGGGAGGCAGCAGUGGGGAAUAUUGCACAAUGGGGGAAACCCUGAUGCAGCGACGCCGCGUGGAGGAAGAAGGUCUUCGGAUUGUAAACUCCUGUUGUUGAGGAAGAUAAUGACGGUACUCAACAAGGAAGUGACGGCUAACUACGUGCCAGCAGCCGCGGUAAAACGUAGGUCACAAGCGUUGUCCGGAAUUACUGGGUGUAAAGGGAGCGCAGGCGGGAAGACAAGUUGGAAGUGAAAUCCAUGGGCUCAACCCAUGAACUGCUUUCAAAACUGUUUUUCUUGAGUAGUGCAGAGGUAGGCGGAAUUCCCGGUGUAGCGGUGGAAUGCGUAGACAUCGGGAGGAACACCAGUGGCGAAGGCGGCCUACUGAGCACCAACUGACGCUGAGGCUCGAAAGUGUGGGGUAGCAAACAGGAUUAGAUACCCUGGUAGUCCACACUGUAAACGAUGAUUACUAGGUGU
RNAcentral lists this ribosomal RNA (716 nucleotides) under uncultured bacterium. RNAcentral describes it as "bacterial SSU rRNA". It matches the Rfam family "Bacterial small subunit ribosomal RNA", at positions 92 to 823 of the family's 1533-position model. The record is from RNAcentral.